ACACUGUUAUACUCACAUGCAGUCACACAUAUAUCACACACACACAUAUAUAUAUAUACACACACACUCUUACAGUCACACAAUCACACACUUAUCACUUAGACACAGUCACAUACUCACACACUUAUACAAACAAUUACAUAUGCUUACACACUUAUACACACUCUUACACACUCACAAUCACACGCCAACAGUCACAUAAGCUCGCAUACUUAAACACACGCUCACACACUCUGAUACUAGGACAUGAAACUCAGAAGAACCUCUGAGUCUGCCAAUGGCAGGUCCUGCGGGUUUCCCUUGCCUUUAGUCCCUGAAGGUGAGCAGACCCAGCAGCAGCCUGUCCUGGGGCUCAGAAAGGGACAGAGCUGGCUCCCAGCCCCGAGCCACCAGCGCAGUGUGGAUCGUUAGCAACGAGGGCCUGAUGUUGCCAGCAUGUUUCUUCUCUGCCUGGCUACAGAGUCACCCCCACGGUGGUCAGGGGGUGGAAUUUUGACCAGAGUGUGGCCCUGGCUCCUGCUGGACAAUGCUGCCCUGGUUUGUCACCCUCUAGUGGCCUUCAGACAUUGAGUAUUUGUAGAAAUUCAGAUUACAUUCCAGUGGAACUCCGCCAGGAAGACGUGGGGUUUGCGCUUCAUACUUUUCAAUGGUUAACCUUGUCCUAGGGACGGACCUUUCCAGCAUCAAAGAAAUACAUAUCUACUGAUCUACCGUAUCCACCAAAGUUUGUGAUGCCUGCAUAGACGCUUGUUAAAAAAAAUAAUAAAAAAUACAACAAAAAUAAAUAAAACCACACAAUUGAAUUGCCUUUGAAAGUGGGAGACGUUCUGUCUCCAACAGAUGGGAGACAAAAAGCUUCUUCAGAGUACGUAUGUUUUGUAUUCCUUUUCUAGUAGGACUGACUUGAAAUAUUGGUGGCUUUUUUUUUUCUUAGUGAAGUGUGUUGCUUUUGUGCGUGAUAAUAUUUGAAUGUAAUUACAGCAGUGCCAAUUUGCCAAAGAUGUUGGACUAUUUUUCUUUCGUUGGGAGAAGGGAAGGGGGCUGAGGGCGGGAUGUGGGAGGAACCGGGUUGGGAUCCUGGUCUAAUUUUUUUUAACUUUUUUUUUCCUGUCAAAUCUGGGAUUUGUGGGUUUAUUUUAAGUUAAAUGGUUGACUGCAACACCUUUAUUUUAAAUUUAGCUGAAGAAACAUGCAAUAAGCCUGGUGUAGUUUCAAUAUCUGUGUCCUUUCAUGAGUGACUGUUCCUUGUGAAGAAUUGAUUUUAUGUAACCUUUAUGUGAGAUAAUUAUUUGUAAAUAUUUGCCAUAAUUUUAUUGGUUCCUAAAAAUAAAAGUAAUUUUUUUAAGUUCAG
Molecule: long non-coding RNA, 1351 nt
Filed under: Rattus norvegicus (Norway rat)
Lineage: Eukaryota; Metazoa; Chordata; Mammalia; Rodentia; Muridae
Description: long non-coding RNA NONRATT023205
Source: RNAcentral